UCUUAUCUAGAGAGAUGGAGGGGCUGGCCCAAUGAAGUCUCGGCAACCUAAUUCGGUUAGGUGCCAAUUCCAGAGAGCAGAGGCUCGAAGAUGAG
This 95-nucleotide non-coding RNA is filed under the name Aneurinibacillus aneurinilyticus. RNAcentral's name for it is "SAM riboswitch (S box leader)". It matches the Rfam family "SAM riboswitch aptamer (S box leader)". From Rfam's summary of the family: The SAM riboswitch is found upstream of a number of genes which code for proteins involved in methionine or cysteine biosynthesis in Gram-positive bacteria. The SAM riboswitch acts at the level of transcription termination control. The predicted structure consists of a complex stem-loop region followed by a single stem loop terminator region. The record is from RNAcentral. Lineage: Bacteria; Bacillati; Bacillota; Bacilli; Caryophanales; Paenibacillaceae.